RNAcentral lists this long non-coding RNA (8525 nucleotides) under Vitis vinifera (wine grape). Its description in RNAcentral is "long non-coding RNA (VVIN_LNC003135)". Lineage: Eukaryota; Viridiplantae; Streptophyta; Magnoliopsida; Vitales; Vitaceae. The record is from RNAcentral.
UUUUUUUUUUUCUUCGUUUUUUUUUUCCUUCUACUUUUCCUUUUUAUUUUCCUUCAAAUUUUCUGGAACCAAACAUAGCCUUAAAAAAUAAAAUCUAAAAUCCAUCUCAUUACUCCCAUGCUAUGAUAGUAGAGAGAGAACUAUAAUUUAGCAGACGAAAUUCAGGUGAAAUCUUCCAAAAAAAAAAACAAAAUAAUUUGUGGAUUUUCUGUGUGCCAAUCAAAAUCCGAGAUUGUUGGGGAAGAUGCUGCUGUGGCUGGUUAGGAGCAAAGAAUGGAAAUCCGUAAAAUGUUGGUUAAAUUAACUGACGGGGGAAAAGAGAGGCAUGCAUAUUAUAGAAAAGAAAAAUCUUUGAUUGUGAAAGAAUAUGAUAUAAAUAGGUAGCUGAUUGGCUAUAUUUAUAAGCUUUUCUUUGUGCCUUUCACUCUCCAUUUUCCCUUUCUUCCAUCAUACUGUCUUUCUUCUUUAAUGGCUUGCAACCAGCAUAAGGUAUGGAGGAGGGUGGCGUUUCUUCUCUCGCUGCUCUCCAUUUUACAAAUUUGUGCUCGUGGGGACCCUCAAGUGCCUUGCUACUUCAUUUUAGGGGACUCACUGUCUGACAACGGGAAUAAUAAUGGCCUUUCGACGAAGGCCAAAGCCAAUUUCAAGCCAUACGGAAUCGACUUUCCGGUGGGCCCUACCGGAAGGUUUAGCAACGGACGGACCAUUGUCGAUGUUACUGGUUAAUCUUCUCAACUAAAUGAAUGUUCAUAUAUAUAGUCUCUCUCCCUCAAACUCUCCACAUUUUUUCCCUGACUUUUUUAAUGGAAAGAAUGAAAGAUCAUGCUAAUUGAAGACUUCCUCAUUGCAGCUGAACUUCUGGGUUUUGGCGAGUACAUCCCGCCCUUUACAUCAGCAAAAGGUCGGGACGUACUCAAAGGCGUGAAUUAUGCUUCGGCGUCGGCAGGAAUCCUUGACGAAAGUGGAAAGCAACUGGUACAUUCGAAGAUGCAUUGCAAGCUUUUAGCUAGCAAUAUAUAAAACUGCAAUUUAGAUGACAAUAUACUUCUCUUGUAUUGGCAGGGUCAAGCAAUUCCAUUGGGUGGACAGUUGAAAAAUUACCUUAAAACAUUCUCUCAAAUCUCCAAAAUACUAGGAGGUGGCACAGCUGCUCACAAGUACCUAAAUAAGUGCAUGUUUACAGUUGGAAUUGGUAGUAAUGAUUUCAUUAACAACUACUUCAUGCCAGACGUGUUCCGAACGAGUGAAUUAUAUUCCCUAGAUCGAUUUGUGGCAACACUUAUUGAUCAAUAUUCUCAGUAUUUGCAGGUUAGUGAUAUAUAUAUAUAUUCCUUUUCCUCGAUUAACAGUAGCAUUAAUUUAUUGGUUUCUUGUUAAUGCAUGCACAGACCCUGUACAAGUGUGGAGCAAGGAAGGUAGCCCUUUUUGGAUUGGGACCAAUAGGUUGCGCUCCUGCUGAAUUGGCUCGGUAUGGGGCAACACCCGGAUCAAUCUGCGUGGACAAAAUCAAUGAUGCAGUUGUACGUUUUAACAAAAGGCUUAUAUCACUCGUUGAUGAUCUCAAUGACAAUUACAAAGAUGCAAAGUUUACCUACAUUAACAUACUCGAAAUUGGAACUGGGGAUGCCACAGCCGCAGGUAAUGAACUCUUAGCUUGUUGACGAUUUCAUCAUAUUCUACUUCAUGGAGAAGGGGUCUUCGUAGUAUGAAUACUAUAUAUAGAAGACUAAGCCAGUGGCCUCUUACAGGUUUCAAGGUUACAAACAGUGGGUGCUGUGGUGGACAGAAGGGUUGUCUUCCUCUUGCAACUCCAUGCAAGAAUAGGGAUGAGUACACCUUCUGGGAUGAAUUCCACCCCACCGAUGCUAUGAACGUCAUUUUUGCUAACAGGGCAUACAAAGCAUUGACUCCCACAGAUGCCCACCCAAUUGAUAUCAGCACCCUUGCCUGUCUCUAAUGGAGACACCGCCUAGCCCGGCACUUGGCACAAUGGAAGUGGAGUGUCCAAUAACUUUUGUUGUCAAUAUUGUUGGUAGUCAGCAAACUUGAUGUACGUUGGUAGCUCAUUUUCCCCGAAGUUGAAGCCUUUGGGGCAGAGGGUAUAGUUCAUCGAUCAUAGCUUCAUUUCCCAGAGACCUAGCAUUCGGAUCUCUUGGUUUGUUUAUUAAUUCUUCCUUUUGUUACACCCCAUGCCUGACGAGGAAGCAUGUGAGGUGAAGUAAAUGUAAGUUUAAUUUAUUUCUCAUUAGCUUAUGCUUUUGAAGCAACCUGUAUCGUAAAUAAACUUCCUAAUUUCUGUGAACAUCUACUUCAUGAGUAUGCAUUUCUCUAAGUUCCUGUUAUGUUUGGCACUAGAAAAUUUGCCAGGAAAAGUAGAAGAAAGAAAGAGUAAAAAUUUAAAAUUAAUAAAAAAAAUUUAUAUGUUAUUUCAAAUUUAUGUAAAAAAUUAAUUUUAAUAAAAAAAACCAAAAUACACCCUUUUUAGAAUUUUUAUUUUACUUCUAUUUCUAUUAUUUCAUUUUAUCAAAGGGCAGACGCUCUAAAUGAUUAUCUAAAGGACUAAAGCACUCUUUAGUUGAGUAUGGACUCCUUAAAUCUUAGGCUGGGUGUGGGGUCAGAGUAUGGGCUUCGGAAUUUUCUACCCCUUGAGCCAUCUUUAUGCAAUUGAAAGUAGGAUCAGAAUGAUCAUGGGCUCCUCCAUUCACAUUCAACUCAAAAGCCCCAUCAGAAUCAGGUACAACAAAUCAAAUUCAAGUACAAAGCAGUAAUUCUAUUAUAUAGUAUAAUUAAAAAUUCAUUUUCUACUACUUCCAUGAAUGAAAUCUAACUAUUCCUAUGUUUUUUUUCCUAAAAAUUAACUAAUUUUUGACAUAAAUGUCCUUUACUAUUUCAAAUAUUUACAUGUAGGUUUUAAAAGAGAUGACUAUUUUCACAAGAAAAUAAUGACAACAUUUUUGUCCAAAUGAGAUCAAAAAAUGGUGGAAGGUUAAAUUUCAAAAACCCUUUUAAUUAAAUAACCCAAAAGUAUAGGAUAUAAUGAUGAUGUUGAAUUAUGAUUACAAUCUUCAAAAUUUAAACUCCUAACUUAAUAUUAGGUUGAUGAUUAUAAAACUAUGGGCUAAGUAUUUCAUGAAAAUAAAAGAUUGUUUGGUGGUGAUUUAUGAUGGUUUGAAAUAUUUAGUGAUUUAAACUCCUAAAUCAAAGUUCUCAUUUUUUUUACAAGGGUUCAAAUUUCAUUCUAUGCAUAAUAUUUGGGAAUUUUUCCAAUCUUAUGUACAAUUUAUGGGUUUUAAUGCUUAUUUAGGGUUCACCCUAAUCAAGGGAUUGGGUUGGACCGAGUCUUAGCCCAAAAUUUUUUAGCGGGUUGUUAAAUUUUUCUUAAACUUAAUAUAGCGUUUGAAUUUUUUAGAUUGUAUUUGGUUUGGAAAACGUUUUACAAUAUUCAUUUUUGAUUUUUAUUUUUUGAAAAUAAUUUUCAUUUUCUAUUUCUUAUCUUCUUAAAAAUGUGUUUGAUAAAGAAAAGUGGAAAUUAUGUUUUAAAAAUGAAAUUUAUAAAUUUUAAGUAUUUAUUAAAAAUGUGGAAUAAAUAUAAUUAAAUUUGUAUAUGAUUAAAUAUAAAUAGAAAAACAAAAGGAAAAAAAAAAAAAAAAAAAAAAGAGGAAAACUUUUUAUGCUUUGUCCUUCAUUCCAAGACAUGUGUCAUUCUUUCAUUUAGAGUUGUCCAUAGGCUCACCGGGAGGCAAGUCCCCUAAGCUGGGAGCAAGGCUACGGGAGACAUCACUAGACUUAAGAAUGUCUCCUUCCAUACAUACAAUAGCUCUUUAUGAGCUCUACAUGUGGUUCUCUCUCAAUUACAUGUGAAGGUCAGCUAUAUAAAUUAUGCUUAGUAACUUGGUUUUUCUCUCUAGUAUAAGUUGGGUUUUUCUCUCUAGUAAGUUGUGUAUGGGAACUUACAUUGUUUACUUAUUACAUAGUGGUGUAAUUGGAGAAAGAAACGUGAGUAAUGUUAGAUAUUGGCUUUAGCUUAUUACAGUCUAGUAAGUUGGGGUCUUUUUAACUUUGAAUAAUUUUAUGAAUAUGCAUGAUUAUGAUGGUAGUAUAGGCUUUAGCUUCUCUUUAAUUUGUUUAGGUGAUCUCUUGUUCAAUUUUCUUUUACUUCUCGCAUCAUUUGGUAUCAAAGCAUAUUGUACGCUCUUGGCUUUGCUUCUUUUAUGGCAACAGGAUGAGGUAGGGAAGACAUGGUAACCAUAUGAUGGAUGAUUGGAGGGAUGAAAGAGUUGAUGAACUUCAGGCACUUCAAAGACAAAUUGAACAACAUACUAUGCAUCUUGAAUGAUAAGAAGCUCGCAAUAAGCAUGGAGGGUAUAGCUGUGAGUAUUCUGGUCACGAAACCGACCAGAAUCCCUUCGACCAUCAUGAAAAGGUUAGGUUUGGAAGCUACUAUUGAGAUCCCGACGCCAUCAACAUUGUUUUACGUACCUGAGUUCCAUGGUCAUCUUCACCUCUAAAAGAGUUCCUUGAUUAGCUAGAACCGUUGAAAUAUUAUUUAACAACAAGGAUAUCCCUAAGUAUCAAAGAGUGAAGCUACUAGCAACAAGGCUUCAAGAGUAUGCGUUGGCAGAGUAGGAUAAGGUUCAAGAGAUGAGGCUUCAUAAGGGAAAGCCUAAGAUUUCUUCUUGGGAGAAAAUGAAGUCUAGGAUUAGGGAUAAACUUCUUCCAUUAGAUUUUGCUCAAAGUAUUGUUAUCUCAAUUUAAGAACCCUUUUCCAAGAAUCCAAGAGUAUAUUAGAUUAGAUUGAAAAUUUUACGAGCUCAUUACUCGUAAUGACAUUCAAGAAACCGAGGAAAAAGUCAUUGUAAGAUAUGUUGAUGGGCUAAAAAUAUGGAUUCAUGAUAAAAUGGAAGCUUAUCAACCAACCUUGAAAGUGGAGGCUAAACUUUACUUUGAUAGUGAAACAAAGUUUAUGAAUGUUCAUAGUUUCUAUCCUUCUUCCAAAGGAAAGUCUUCAUAAGGUAGCAGCACUAAUAGGUUUCGAAAUAUGAAAAAAAAAAAAAACCCGUGAAGUUAGUCCUUAUAAAUCAUGUAGGAAAUCAACCUAGUCACGCCAACAAUCCAAUUACUUCAAGUGUGGACAAGUGGGGCUUGUUACAAUGAAUGUCCCAAUAGACAAGUGGAUACACAGGUAGCUUUUGUGAUGAGGAUGGUGGUGAAAAGUUUAUUAGUGAUCUAAAUGAGCCAUCUAUGAUAAGGAAGGUGAUGUGGAAUGAGAAGAAAUUGAGCCCAGAGAAGCUAAGAACCUGAUGAUCCAUAGAGCACUUACCACUCAAAAAGUUGAUUUCCAUAAAGAUUGAAUUUGCUCCAAUAUCUUCAAAACUCACUGCAAAUCUGAUGGAAAAGUGUGUACCAUAGUUAUUGAUGGUGGAAGUUACAAAAACAUCAAUAUUUCUAAAUGGUAAAGAAGCUCAGCUGUAGAUUGGAUCUGAUCCAAAGCCUUAUUGAAUUGCAUGGUUUAAGAAAGGAAAUGAUAUAAAAGUUUCCAAAAGGUGUCUUGUUUCAUUUGCUAUGGAUAAAAAUUAUGAAGACCGAGUUUGUGUGAUGUAGUUCCUAUGGAUUUUAUAUACAUUCCUAGGAAAUAUUCUGGCAAUAGGAUAGAAAUGAAAUGUGUUCAUGAUGGUCAAAAGAAUACUUAUCCCUUUAUUAUGGGAAAAAUAGAAGCUAUUCUUCCACCAAGUAAAGAGGAAAAAGCACCAAAGUCUCUACAAGAGGAGGGUGACAAUUUUCUCGCUGUCAAAGUUUGUGAAAGUGAAGAAAGUGGUGUUAUGUACAUGUUAAUCACAAAAGUAAACUUGCAGCCAGUGGACUUGCCUAGUGACUUGGAACCAUUCUUGGGUUUCCCUCUCUUAGAGACAUUCAACAUCACUUUGACUUGAUACCUGGUUCUAUGCUUUCUAAUAAAGCUUAAUUUCGUGUACAAGUCUAACAGAACAUUAAGAGAUGAAAGGGCAAUCAUGGAGUGGUUCAAAAGGGGUAUGUUAGAGAAAGCAUGAGCACUUGUGCAGUGUUGGUCUUGUUAACUACUAAGAAAGACGAAACAUGGCCUUAUGUGUGUGAAUAGUCGUCACAUUAAUCAAAUUAAUAUCCAAUACUGGUUUCCUAUUCUAAGAGUUAGGGUGCUUGAUAUGCUUGCAAGUGCUAAAUUUUUUUUCCAAAAAUGAUAGUAGAAAUGGCUACUAUUGUAUUUGAAUCAAACUGGGUGACAAAAUGGGGUAUUUUUUCAGAUUUUUCUAUAUUAAGAAAAUUCAUUAUACCAUGGAAGCGUUAAUGGGGUAUUUUUUGGGUUUUCUACAAUUAAAGAAAAUCCAUUAUAUCUAUGCAAGCAUCAUUGAUGUGUCCUCUUGACAAUUGGGAAUUGCUCGUAAUGCUCUUUUGGGAGGGGGUGGUAGUCUCACUUAGGGUAAGCCAAGGGUGCGGGCUAUGGCAUGGUAUGGAAUACCUAAGGCAUACCAAGACUCUUCAUGGGUGGGUAUAAGGCGCCCUUAGAGCUUGUACACAUCCAAAUGUGCAAUGGCUUAAGCAAGGCAUAGGAGCACGAACAGAGCCAUGCAUGAUCAAAGCAUGACACAUCCGAUGUGGGCUUUGUGGCUGAGGCAAGAUACAACUUGGUGCAUACAUGAGGGCAAUGCUAUAUGCAUGAACCUUGGGCACAACCAAGGUCAUAAGACCUCAUAGCACAUGAUGAAAGGGCCUAAUACCAAACAAGGGUUGGUUUGGCUAGCCACAAAUGGGCACCAGGUGUAGUGGUUAAUCUGUUAAUCAAAUAUCUAGCGUUUCACCUACUCUAGGUUUCAGGGCCACAAUAAGCACCGGGUGUAGUGGUGGGCAAAGUGAUUGUCUUCCUUCUAUAAUUGCAUGCCAGAUUAGGACCAGGUAUGUCUACUGGGACCAGUUCCACCCAACUGAAGCUAUGAAUGUGAUUUAUGCUCGAAGAGCAUACAUCAUACAGACUCCAUCAGAUGUCCACCCAGUUGAUAUCCACGCUCAUCUCUAUUAAUGGAGGCAGUCGCUAUUGAGCGCUCUCUAUUAAUGAAGGCAGCAGCUAUUGAGUGCAAUGUGUAUACAUAUAUACAAUAGUAGUUGCUGAUAGGAUGCUCUACCAUAAUAUAAAGAUCUCGGUUUGCAGAGUGGCUUUGUUUCUAUGAACAUAUAGUUCAUGUCUACGUAUACCUGUAAUUAAGUUCAAUAUGGUCUAUAAUAAAAUAUCAUGUAAAAAUAUUUUUCUUGUAUAUAACCAUGAUGUAACUGGAAGUACUAACUGUUUUUUUAUUCAUGUGCAAAAUUGUUAAUUUUUUCUCUUGUUCACCAAAAUAUUGAACAGACUGUCAAAGUUCGAAGUAUUCACAAAUGCAUCCAUGUGUAGAAAGAAUUAGAGCAUAUAUACAUGCAAUAACAAUAAUCUUCUCUUGAUGGUCUUGUUACAUUGUUGAAUUAUAUGAUAUAUCUAAAAUAAUUUGAUAUGAUUCAGUACUGUUUUUAAAACAAAGGUAAUUUUGUUGAGAGAUCAGCCAUGUUAACAUCAAGAAAAGCCCCCUUCUGACCAUGCAAUUUUUGUAUGUCUGGAUCCUCCAUUCUAAAUUUUUUGCUACUAGUAAGCAUACCGUUCCAUUUGGAUAACAAGGUACAGAAUGAAACUAGUAGGCUUCAAUCCAAUAUGUAAAGAGAUUGUUCCACUCAACCCUAGAAAGCUGUCUGUAUAUAAUUUCAAAGCUAUCCAUAAUGAAUGUGGAUACUGCCUCUGAUCCAUGCAUGCCUUAGGUUGGGCUAUUUAGAAACAAUAGCAGUUGUUAUUUUCAUUUCUAUAAGCGCUAUAUAGAUCUAAUAGAAGGUUUUGAUCAACAUACACACACAUAAAGAAACUAAAAAUGACGAAAAACAGGCAUGCUAGCAAAUAUAACAAGGAGAAAGAAGCACACAAAGGAUCAGUAUAGCUACAUCGAUCAGUAGAAUCUUUCAUGGAGUCAUAGUGUGAAACAUGUAGAGAAGUAGCACUCUAACAACAUACUUGGGUGACCUAUGCCCAUCAACAAAGAUACUAACUUGUCAGAGUAUUAAGUUCCUCCACUUGAGAAAAGUUGAUCCCUGCUUUUUAGUGUUUCUCAAGAUAAUCUGUAGCUUGCAUCCGCUAGGCACUAGAUCAUCCCCACAGAAACUAAAAACAGCAGAAAUUACUGGUCCUUGAAGCAUAUUAACUGCAAAGAAAUUAAUCACAAAGUAUUAAACAAAUGUUGCAUUAAUUUAUCUAGUUUUUAACAGUCAUUUGGAACCACAACUAUGAUGAUCUAUAAUAAUGGUGGUGGUUCAUACUUUUGACUUUAAACUCCGCAAGAAAUGCCAUGGGAUUGAUCAUCUUGUGAUAAAGCCUUAUUCCUUCCUAUAUGGGAAAACAUAAAUUGCCUCCGCUCCACUUGGAUUUUGGAAGGUUUGAGGGAAUUUGCAGGGGAGAAGAAAAUGGGUUGUGUGUGUGGUGC